CACCAGACCACAAACGUGGAUGGAGUUUCACUCUUAUGGCCCAGGCUGGAGUGCAAUGGCGUGAUCUCAGCUCACCACAACCUCUGCCUCCCGGGUUCAAGUGGUUCUCCUACCUCAGCCUCCUGAGUAGCUGCGAUUACAGAUACAUAGCUCUGGCCAAGAAGUGUGGUUUUGAAGAGCCCAAACUGUAUCUGUUACCUGAUUUCAAAGAAUAUUCCACCUAGGAGAGACCCAGGUCCUGCAGACUUCCUCUGGACACUUUUGGCAGUCAUUGUUCCCAGCUGAUUCUGCAACAGAUGAAGGACGGAGGAUAGAAUCAUGAAUAGCAACAUCUUAAUUGCUGACUGGGUGUUGAUUCUAAGGAUACCCCCAAUAAACAUCUUUCGUGCUAAAGCCCAUUCCAGAAUUUACUUCCCAGCUAUCUUUGAUGUUCAUAUUGUCAGAGGUGGUGGCCGCUGAAACAGGCAAAGACAUGGAGCAUAUCUUGGGUCCAGGACCUUGGGAGUCCAGAGGAAGGUCUUUUUACCAUCAGCAUUCUCUACUGUGUUCAAUGACUGUCAGCCAAAGAUGGCCAGGUUCUCUACUGUGAUGGUGAAUUUUAUGUGUCAAUUUGACUGGACCAUGGGAUGCCCAGCUUUCCUUCAGAAAGAAAUGCAUUCAAAGAACCUACAUUCACAACAUAAAGAAAUAAAGCCUGCACCUACAGAUCUACACACAUGCCCAUGCACAUGCAGGAAGUGUUCAUCUAAGACUGGACCUUUUAGAAGAAAGCUGGCAUACAUUCGUGAAGGCAUGGGCUUCCAGGCAUGUCAUCUUCACUCACGAAGCACACACAAGACCGCCAAGCAUUAAGAUUCUCCUGUGGAGCCAGGCUACAAUCCUUUAAAUGAAGACAGACAGCUAGGUGGCUGCAGCCCAGCGCUACACCUCACCCCUCCCUCAGUGUCAUGCAGAAAAAAUGUAUUCAGAACUCAGAAGUGAAGUUGUGCAAAUCCAUCAUUGACACUAGCUUCAAGGUUACCUCGGGGGAGCAGAAUGUACCCCUGCCAGAGAGCUGGAUAGAUGAUGAUGGGGACAGAAAUUCUGGGGGAGUUGUAAAUGGCAGCCACUGCCUCUAUAGGAAACCCAAAGGGAACACAGCAGAAGAGGAGGUGGUGGAGGAGCCACUGCCCUCUCGAAGGGUUCAAUGUCAUUCUGCAGACACAACCAAAUAACUUUUUCUUCCCUGCUGCUCCUCCAUUUG
RNAcentral lists this long non-coding RNA (1243 nucleotides) under Homo sapiens (human). Its description in RNAcentral is "long intergenic non-protein coding RNA 922". The record is from RNAcentral. Lineage: Eukaryota; Metazoa; Chordata; Mammalia; Primates; Hominidae.